UACGUAGGGAGCAAGCGUUGUCCGGAAUCAUUGGGCGUAAAGCGCGCGUAGGCGGCCCUGUAAGUCCGUUGUGAAAGUCAAAGGCUCAACCUUUGAAAGCCGAUGGAUACUGCAGGGCUAGAGUCCGGAAGAGGCGAGUGGAAUUCCUGGUGUAGCGGUGGAAUGCGCAGAUAUCAGGAGGAACACCAAUAGCGAAGGCAGCUCGCUGGGACGGUACUGACGCUGAGGAGCGAAAGCGUGGGGAGCGAACAGG
Molecule: ribosomal RNA, 253 nt
Filed under: uncultured bacterium
Lineage: Bacteria
Description: partial 16S ribosomal RNA
Rfam family: Bacterial small subunit ribosomal RNA
Source: RNAcentral